Molecule: ribosomal RNA, 253 nt
Filed under: uncultured bacterium
Lineage: Bacteria
Description: partial 16S ribosomal RNA
Rfam family: Bacterial small subunit ribosomal RNA
Source: RNAcentral
UACGUAGGGGGCAAGCGUUGUCCGGAAUCAUUGGGCGUAAAGCGCGUGUAGGCGGCCAGGUAAGUCCGUUCUGAAAGCCCGGGGCUCAACCCCGGGAGGCGGAUGGAUACUGCUUGGCUCGAGUCCGGAAGAGGCGAGUGGAAUUCCCGGUGUAGCGGUGAAAUGCGCAGAUAUCGGGAGGAACACCGGUGGCGAAGGCGGAUCUCUGGGCCUGUCCUGACGCUCAGGCGCGAAAGCUAGGGGAGCGAACAGG